Molecule: ribosomal RNA, 790 nt
Filed under: uncultured archaeon
Lineage: Archaea
Description: bacterial SSU rRNA
Rfam family: Archaeal small subunit ribosomal RNA
Source: RNAcentral
ACGGCUCAGUAACACGUAGCUAACCUGCCCUUAAGUCGAGGAUACUCUCGGGAAACUGAGGUUAAUACUCGAUAGGAGAUGUACCCUGGAAUGAUUCAUCUCUCAAAUUCGAGCUUAAGGAUGGGGCUGCGGCGGAUUAGGUAGUUGGCGGGGUAAAAGCCCACCAAGCCGAUGAUCCGUAAGGGCUCUUAGCGGAGAGGCCCUGAGAGGGAAUCUGAGACACUAUUCCCAGCCCUACGGGGUGCAGCAGUCGGGAAAAUUCUGCAAUGCGCGCAAGCGUGACAGAGCAAGCCAACGUGAUUUUCUAUUAUUGAACAUCUUUUGUGUGCUGUAAAUAGGCAUACGAAUAAGGACUGGGAGAGACGGGUGCCAGCCGCCGCGGUAAUCCCCGCAGUCCAAGUCGCAACCACAUUUGUUGGGUCUAAAACAUCCGUAGCUUGCUGUAUAAGUCUCUUGUGAAAUCCGAUCUCUCAAGGUUCGAAGUGCAAGAGAUACUGUACAGCUAGAGACCGGGAGACGCAAUGAGUACGCAUCGGGUACCGGUAAAAUGGGUUGAUCCAAUGCAGACUAACAACCGCGAAGGCACGUUGCGAGCACGGAUCUGACAGUGAGGGAUGAAGGCUAGGGGCGCAAAGUGGAUUAGAUACCCAUGUAGUCCUAGCAGUAAACACUGCACACUGAACAUUAGGGCCUCCUCGAGAGGUUCUAGUGCUGUAGGGAAGCCGGAGAGUGUGCUACCUGGGAAGUAUAGUCGCAAGACCGAAACUUAAAGGAAUUGGCGGGGGAGCAC